This 72-nucleotide transfer RNA is filed under the name Cavia porcellus (domestic guinea pig). It matches the Rfam family "tRNA". Rfam says of the family: Transfer RNA (tRNA) molecules are approximately 80 nucleotides in length. Their secondary structure includes four short double-helical elements and three loops (D, anti-codon, and T loops). The record is from Rfam by way of RNAcentral. Lineage: Eukaryota; Metazoa; Chordata; Mammalia; Rodentia; Caviidae.
GAGGAUGUAGCUCAGUGGUGCAGCACCUGCCUGACAAGUGUGAGGUCCUGAGUUCGAAUCCCAGAUCCCUCC